Molecule: long non-coding RNA, 482 nt
Organism: Brassica oleracea var. oleracea
Lineage: Eukaryota; Viridiplantae; Streptophyta; Magnoliopsida; Brassicales; Brassicaceae
Exons: 3
Source: RefSeq, a predicted model, not a curated record
ACUGGCACAUACAAAGAUCUUUUGUCAGCAGGAUCCAUUGAUCCAACCAAAGUGAAAAUGAUCAUUACUUAAUUACAGAUUGAAGUACUCCGUUCUGCAUGCUAACCGAGUGUUUUUCUUAGGGUUGUGAGAUGUUGCUUGCAGUAUGCUUCAGCCAUAGCUAAAGCAUCUUUGAUGUCCAAGUGUGUUGUUGUCGACAUCAAGGAGCCUGACUCAGCAGCUUCUGCUGCUUUUAGAGCACGUGAUGGUGGACAAAAAGAUUUACAUGAUUUGCAAUGUGUAAUGAUCAACAGAUUUUAGUGACACAGAAAUUGGUGUUGCACAAAAAAGAAAGCAAUUUAUGAUGCGGAAGGCCUGCUCUCAACCCCCAUAUCCAAGAUAUUCAACUCGUGCACUUAAAGAUAAGAGAUCACAUGGUAGUCUUUCAAGCUAGAGAAGGGAAUAGAAUGGCAGACAAAAUUGCAAAGGAAGAUCUCUAUUUU